UACAGAGGCCCCGAGCGUUGUUCGGAUUUACUGGGCGUAAAGCGGGUGUAGGUGGUGACGUAAGUCAGAUGUGAAAGCCCUGGGCUUAACCCGGGAAUUGCAUUUGAUACUGCGUUGCUCGAGUAUGGGAGAGGAGAGUGGAAUUCCUAGUGUAGGGGUGAAAUCCGUAGAUAUUAGGAGGAAUACCGAUGGCGAAGGCAACUCUCUGGCCCGUAACUGACACUAAGACCCGAAAGCGUGGGUAGCAAAC
This 250-nucleotide ribosomal RNA is filed under the name uncultured bacterium. Its description in RNAcentral is "partial 16S ribosomal RNA". It matches the Rfam family "Bacterial small subunit ribosomal RNA", at positions 524 to 773 of the family's 1533-position model. The record is from RNAcentral.